Long non-coding RNA from Passer montanus (Eurasian tree sparrow), 770 nucleotides. RefSeq lists it as uncharacterized. The record is from RefSeq and is a predicted model, not a curated record. NCBI's taxonomy places the organism in Eukaryota, Metazoa, Chordata, Aves, Passeriformes, Passeridae. The transcript is spliced from 3 exons.
GGUGGAGGCUGCCCGUGAGGGGCAGCCCGGGCCCGUGAGGGGCAGCUCGGGCCCGGGCCCGGGCCCUCAGCGGGGCAGCUCCGGCACCGGGCCGGCCCCCGAGCGGGACACAGCCUCGGGACAGCUGGGGAGAGCCACAGCGACACGAGAUGGUGCCAGCAAGCAGCAGCAGCAGCAUCCAUCUGUGGAACAUUACUUGGGUGUUGCUUCCACAAGAGAAAUAUCACAGGUCCUGAGCUGAUACUUGUGUGUGCAGAAUGCUGUGGAGGCUCAGGGCUGGGCACUCAAAUUCCAGCCCAACUAUCCACUCCUGUUCCAGCCCCUGCCUGUGGGGUCUUUGCCCCUUGUUUUAGGGCCAUGUCACAGAUUUCUGAUGGUAUCUACAGAAUCUGCUCCUGUCUUGGGCUUGCGGAAGAUGUGCACAGUUUCCUUUCUGUGUGGCACAAACCUCUGAUUUUGGAAGAAAAAAAGAGUUUAAAUCACUUAAAUCACCCAGUCACUUUGCAUCCUGCAGUGGAAUAAGAAAGGUCAGGCAAUAAUUUUUGUUCAAAAAGAAGACUUCAGUAGAUGGAUUAGGUUUAUUUAAUAGUAAAGAAAAGGUCAUGGAUUUUAUUCUUUUAUUCUCACGUAAAUUGGUUUUGUAAAGUUGAAGUUGGUUUAUCAGCAUUUGUGUUCUAUUGCUUUGUUAUUUCAGUACUGGAGAAAAGGUCAUCUUCUUGCUGGGUGUCUGAUAUUCCAUGGUCCAUUAAAACUGCAUUAUUUCUGCUGAA